UUAAUUACCUGGCAGGGGAGGCACCAUGAUCAAGAAUGCGGUUCACCAAAGGUGAGGCAUUUCCAUUGCACUCCGGCCAUGCGGACCCCUGCAAAUUCCCCAAAUGUGGGAAUCUCGACUGCAUAAUUUAUGGUAGUGGGGGACUGCGUUUGCCCUCUCCCGUU
Molecule: small nuclear RNA, 164 nt
Organism: Carassius auratus (goldfish)
Lineage: Eukaryota; Metazoa; Chordata; Actinopteri; Cypriniformes; Cyprinidae
Gene: U1
Rfam family: U1 spliceosomal RNA
About the family: U1 is a small nuclear RNA (snRNA) component of the spliceosome (involved in pre-mRNA splicing). Its 5' end forms complementary base pairs with the 5' splice junction, thus defining the 5' donor site of an intron.
Source: Ensembl